RNAcentral lists this ribosomal RNA (497 nucleotides) under uncultured bacterium. RNAcentral's name for it is "partial 16S ribosomal RNA". It matches the Rfam family "Bacterial small subunit ribosomal RNA", at positions 28 to 507 of the family's 1533-position model. The record is from RNAcentral.
GAUGAACGCUGGCGGCGUGCCUAAUACAUGCAAGUCGAGCGAACAGACGAGGAGCUUGCUCCUCUGACGUUAGCGGCGGACGGGUGAGUAACACGUGGAUAACCUACCUAUAAGACUGGGAUAACUUCGGGAAACCGGAGCUAAUACCGGAUAAUAUAUUGAACCGCAUGGUUCAAUAGUGAAAGACGGUUUUGCUGUCACUUAUAGAUGGAUCCGCGCCGCAUUAGCUAGUUGGUAAGGUAACCGCUUACCAAGGCAACGAUGCGUAGCCGACCUGAGAGGGUGGUCGGCCACACUGGAACUGAGACACGGUCCAGACUCCUACGGGAGGCAACAGUAGGGAAUCUUCCGCAAUGGGCGAAAGCUUGACGGAGCAACGCCGCGUGAGUGAUGAAGGUCUUCGGAUCGUAAAACUCUGUUAUUAGGGAAGAACAAAUGUGUAAGUAACUAUGCACGUCUUGACGGUACCUAAUCAGAAAGCCACGGCUAACUACGUG